This 44-nucleotide transfer RNA is filed under the name Marchesinia robusta. RNAcentral describes it as "partial tRNA-Phe". Lineage: Eukaryota; Viridiplantae; Streptophyta; Jungermanniopsida; Porellales; Lejeuneaceae. The record is from RNAcentral.
GGGAUAGCUCAGUUGGUAGAGCAGGGGACUGAAAAUCCUCGUGU